AAGUCGUAACAAGGUUUCCGUAGGUGAACCUGCGGAAGGAUCAUUAUUGAAUUAUGUUUCUAGAUGGGUUGUCGCUGGCUCUUUGGAGCAUGUGCACGCCUGUUUGGACUUCAUUUUCAUCCACCUGUGCACCUAUUGUAGUCUUUGGUCGGGUUAUUGAGGAAGUGGUCAGUCUAUCAGCAUUAGCUGGAUUUGAGGACUUGCGGUGCGAAAGUAGUGCUGUCCUUUACUUGGCCAUGGAGUCUUUUUCCUGCCAGAGUUUAUGUCAUUCAUUAUACCCUAUAGAAUGUCAUUGAAUGUCUUUACAUGGGCUUGUAUGCCUAUGAAAAUUGUAAUACAACUUUCAGCAACGGAUCUCUUGGCUCUC
Molecule: unclassified non-coding RNA, 367 nt
Filed under: Agaricus sp.
Lineage: Eukaryota; Fungi; Basidiomycota; Agaricomycetes; Agaricales; Agaricaceae
Description: partial internal transcribed spacer region
Rfam family: Eukaryotic small subunit ribosomal RNA (bases 1-46)
Source: RNAcentral